GCUCUUGUAGCUCAGUGGUAGAGCACUUCUUUGGUAAAGAAGAGGCCGGAGGUUCGAUACCUCUCAAGAGCACCA
This 75-nucleotide transfer RNA is filed under the name Burkholderia ubonensis. RNAcentral's name for it is "tRNA-Thr". It matches the Rfam family "tRNA". From Rfam's summary of the family: Transfer RNA (tRNA) molecules are approximately 80 nucleotides in length. Their secondary structure includes four short double-helical elements and three loops (D, anti-codon, and T loops). The record is from RNAcentral. Lineage: Bacteria; Pseudomonadati; Pseudomonadota; Betaproteobacteria; Burkholderiales; Burkholderiaceae.